Molecule: ribosomal RNA, 858 nt
Filed under: Bacteroides sp. HMSC073E02
Lineage: Bacteria; Pseudomonadati; Bacteroidota; Bacteroidia; Bacteroidales; Bacteroidaceae
Description: bacterial LSU rRNA
Rfam family: Bacterial large subunit ribosomal RNA
Source: RNAcentral
ACCAUAGACGGUGAUAGUCCGGUAUUCGAAGCUAAAUGAAGCGUAGUGGUAUCCUGAGUAGCGCGGGACACGAGGAAUCUUGCGUGAAUCUGCCGGGACCAUCCGGUAAGGCUAAAUACUCCCGAGAGACCGAUAGCGAACCAGUACUGUGAAGGAAAGGUGAAAAGCACUUCGAAUAGAAGAGUGAAAUAGUCCCUGAAACCGUGCGCCUACAAGCGGUCGGAGCUGUGUAAACAGUGACGGCGUGCCUUUUGCAUAAUGAACCUACGAGUUACUUUUUCCGGCAAGGUUAAGGAUCUUGAGAUCCGCAGCCGAAGCGAAAGCGAGUCUUAACAGGGCGAUUAGUCGGAAGGAGUAGACGCGAAACCAAGUGAUCUACCCUUGGUCAGGUUGAAGGUUAGGUAACACUAACUGGAGGACCGAACCGAUAAGCGUUGAAAAGCUUCCGGAUGAACUGAGGGUGGGGGUGAAAGGCUAAUCAAACUUGGAGAUAGCUCGUACUCCCCGAAAUGCAUUUAGGUGCAGCCUUGGGAAUUACUACUGUGAGGUAGAGCGACUGAUAAGAUGCGAGGGCUUCACCGCCUAUCAAGUCUUGAUAAACUCCGAAUGCGCAGUAGUUCGAUCCCAGGAGUGAGGGCAUGGGUGCUAAGGUCCAUGUCCUAAAGGAGAAGAAUCCGGACCAUCAGCUAAGGUCCCGAAAUAAUUGCUAAGUUGAACUAACGAAGUCAGAUUGCUAAGACAGCUAGGAUGUUGGCUUGGAAGCAGCCAUUCAUUUAAAGAGUGCGUAACAGCUCACUAGUCGAGGAGUUUGGCGUGGAUAAUAAUCGGGCAUCAAGCAAUUUACCGAAGCUAUGGGAU